AGGGUUUGAUCAUGGCUCAGAACGUACGCUGGCGGCACGCCUAAUACAUGCAAGUCGAACGAAGUAGCAAUACUUAGUGGCAGACGGGUGAGUAACGUGUAGGUAUCUACCCUUUGGCCUGGAAUAACACGAGGAAACUUGUGCUAAUACCGGAUAAGUCUUUACGGAGAAAGCUUUAUGCACCAUUGGAUGAGCCUGCACUUGAUUAGUUUGUUGGUGGGGUAAUGGCUUACCAAGACAAUGAUCAAUAGCUGAUUUGAGAGGAUGAUCAGCCACAUUGGGACUGAGACACGGCCCAAACUCCUACGGGAGGCAGCAGUAGGGAAUCUUGCACAAUGGAGGAAACUCUGAUGCAGCGAUGCCGCGUGAGUGAAGAAGGCCUUUGGGUUGUAAAGCUCUUUCGUCGGGGAAGAAAAUGACUGUACCCGAAUAAGAAGGUCCGGCUAACUUCGUGCCAGCAGCCGCGGUAAUACGAAGGGACCUAGCGUAGUUCGGAAUUACUGGGCUUAAAGAGUUCGUAGGUGGUUAAAAAAGUUGGUGGUGAAAUCCCAGAGCUUAACUCUGGAACUGCCAUCAAAACUUUUUAGCUAGAGUAUGAUAGAGGAAAGCAGAAUUUCUAGUGUAGAGGUGAAAUUCGUAGAUAUUAGAAAGAAUACCGAUUGCGAAGGCAGCUUUCUGGAUCAUUACUGACACUGA
Molecule: ribosomal RNA, 696 nt
Filed under: uncultured bacterium
Lineage: Bacteria
Description: bacterial SSU rRNA
Rfam family: Bacterial small subunit ribosomal RNA
Source: RNAcentral